Molecule: ribosomal RNA, 453 nt
Filed under: uncultured bacterium
Lineage: Bacteria
Description: bacterial SSU rRNA
Rfam family: Bacterial small subunit ribosomal RNA
Source: RNAcentral
AGAGUUUGAUCCUGGCUCAGAACGAACGCUGGCGGCAUGCCUAACACAUGCAAGUCGAACGAAGCCUUCGGGCUUAGUGGCGCACGGGUGCGUAACGCGUGGGAAUCUGCCCUUGGGUUCGGAAUAACAGUUAGAAAUGACUGCUAAUACCGAAUGAUGUCUUCGGACCAAAGAUUUAUCGCCCAAGGAUGAGCCCGCGUCGGAUUAGCUAGUUGGUGAGGUAAAGGCUCACCAAGGCGACGAUCCGUAGCUGGUCUGAGAGGAUGAUCAGCCACACUGGGACUGAGACACGGCCCAGACUCCUACGGGAGGCAGCAGUGGGGAAUAUUGGACAAUGGGCGAAAGCCUGAUCCAGCAAUGCCGCGUGAGUGAUGAAGGCCUUAGGGUUGUAAAGCUCUUUUACCCGGGAUGAUAAUGACAGUACCGGGAGAAUAAGCCCCGGCUAACUCCGUG